This 450-nucleotide ribosomal RNA is filed under the name uncultured bacterium. RNAcentral describes it as "partial 16S ribosomal RNA". It matches the Rfam family "Bacterial small subunit ribosomal RNA", at positions 354 to 796 of the family's 1533-position model. The record is from RNAcentral.
GUGGGGAAUUUUGGACAAUGGGCGCAAGCCUGAUCCAGCAAUGCCGCGUGCAGGAAGAAGGCCUUCGGGUUGUAAACUGCUUUUGUACGGAACGAAACGGUCCGGGUUAAUACCCUGGGCUAAUGACGGUACCGUAAGAAUAAGCACCGGCUAACUACGUGCCAGCAGCCGCGGUAAUACGUAGGGUGCAAGCGUUAAUCGGAAUUACUGGGCGUAAAGCGUGCGCAGGCGGUUUUGUAAGACAGGCGUGAAAUCCCCGGGCUCAACCUGGGAAUUGCGCUUGUGACUGCAAGGAUGGAGUGCGGCAGAAGGGGAUGGAAUUCCGCGUGUAGCAGUGAAAUGCGUAGAUAUGCGGAGGAACACCGAUGGCGAAGGCAAUCCCCUGGGCCUGCACUGACGCUCAUGCACGAAAGCGUGGGGAGCAAACAGGAUUAGAAACCCCGGUAGUCC